RNAcentral lists this ribosomal RNA (497 nucleotides) under uncultured bacterium. RNAcentral describes it as "partial 16S ribosomal RNA". It matches the Rfam family "Bacterial small subunit ribosomal RNA", at positions 28 to 507 of the family's 1533-position model. The record is from RNAcentral.
GAUGAACGCUGGCGGCGUGCCUAAUACAUGCAAGUCGAGCGAACAGACGAGGAGCUUGCUCCUCUGACGUUAGCGGCGGACGGGUGAGUAACACGUGGAUAACCUACUUAUAUGACUGGGAUAACUACGGGAAACCGGAGCUAAUACCGGAUAAUAUAUUCAACCGCAUGGUUCAAUAGUGAAAGACGGCUUUGCUGUCACUUAUAGAUGGAUCCGCGCCGGAUUAGCUAGUUGGUAAGGUAACGGCUUACCAAGGCAACGAUGCGUAGCCGACCUGAGAGGGUGAUCAGCCACACUGGAACUGAGACACGGUCCAGACUCCUACGGGAGGCAGCAGUAGGGAAUCUUCCGCAAUGGGCGAAAGCUUGACGGAGCAACGCCGCGUGAGUGAUGAAGGUCUUCGGAUCGUAAAACUCUGUUAUUAGGGAAGAACAAAUGUGUAAGUAACUAUGCACGUCUUGACGGUACCUAAACAGAAAGCCACGGCUAACUACGUG